This is a long non-coding RNA of Magallana angulata, 454 nucleotides long. RefSeq lists it as uncharacterized. The transcript is spliced from 4 exons. NCBI's taxonomy places the organism in Eukaryota, Metazoa, Mollusca, Bivalvia, Ostreida, Ostreidae. The record is from RefSeq and is a predicted model, not a curated record.
GUUUUGCAAUGCUGACCAAGCUAUAGGUGCUCAAGAAGAGAAAACACACUUUGGAAAGUUUUCUUGAUGAUGUAACUUGGGCUACAUCAACAGAUUGCUUCAGCUCAUCAGCAGUUGGUUCUCCAACCACCUGCGAUACAUCUGCAGUGGUCAUUGAAAGUGUUUUUGAUGACAUGAGUUGGGCGACACCAUCUGGCCGUUCAGAAACAGUAGUUACUCCAGGAUCUAUUGCAUGCACUAUGGUUGCCCACUCUCCCAAGACAGAUGUAGGUCAGAUAACAAAGACCCCGUGUGAUACAUCUGCAGAGGUCAUUGAAAGUUCUCUUGAUGACAUAAGAAGGACAACAUCAUCUGGUUCAGAAACGGUAGUUACUCCAGGAACUAUGACAUGCAUUGCAGUUACCCACCCUCCCAGGUCAGAUGUAGAUCGAUUGGCAGCAACCACGUGUGAUAA